UUUUUUUUUUAAAUCUGUGAUACUGAGAUUAAUUAUCUUAUGAAUGUCUUUAAAUGCAUUCCUUAUAUUUCCUUAAAAUGGAUUUCCAUUAGAUGGAUCCUGUUCUACAUUUUAAGCUUCUGUUUUGUUAAAUUACCUAUAAAAAGGAAUAUAUCAGUUCAUAUUCUCAGAAGUGAAAUGUUCCGACCACUGUUUGCUGCUCUAGCACGGGAUGAAAACAUUUAUCUGAUAGUUCCACACUCACUGUAAUAAAAUAAUAACACUCCCAGUGAAAGCAUGUGACAUUUUGAUUUGCCUCGUAGGCCUUCUGUGAAGAGCUGGAGUCUAUGAUACAGGAGCAGUUUAAGAAGGGGAAGAACCCUACAGGCCUGUUGGCAUUACAGCAGAUUGCGGAUUUCAUGACGGCGAGUGUGCCCAAUGUCUACCCGGCAGCUCCACAAGGAGGAAUGGCCGCCCUGAACAUGAGUCUUGGUAUGGUUACUCCUGUGAAUGACCUUAGAGGAUCUGAUUCUAUUGCAUAUGACAAGGGGGAGAAGUUACUGCGAUGUAAGCUGGCAGCAUUUUACAGACUAGCAGACCUCUUUGGCUGGUCUCAGCUUAUCUACAAUCACAUCACA
This 617-nucleotide long non-coding RNA is filed under the name Rattus norvegicus (Norway rat). Its description in RNAcentral is "long non-coding RNA NONRATT010034". Lineage: Eukaryota; Metazoa; Chordata; Mammalia; Rodentia; Muridae. The record is from RNAcentral.